UCGGGAAUUUUGGGCAAUGGGCGAAAGCCUGACCCAGCAACGCCGCGUGAGGGAUGAAGUAUUUCGGUAUGUAAACCUCGAAAGAAUGGGAAGAAUAAAUGACGGUACCAUUUAUAAGCUCCGGCUAACUACGUGCCAGCAGCCGCGGUAAUACGUAGGGAGCAAGCGUUGUUCGGAUUUACUGGGCGUAAAGGGCGCGUAGGCGGCGCGGUAAGUCACUUGUGAAAUCUCUGAGCUUAACUCAGAACGGCCAAGUGAUACUGCUGUGCUAGAGUGCGGAAGAGGCAACCGGAAGUCUUGGUGUAGCGGUGAAAUGCGUAGAUAUCAAGAGGAACACCUGAGGCGAAGGCGGGUGGCUGGGCCGACACUGACGCUGAUGCGCGAAAGCCAGGGGAGCAAACG
This 402-nucleotide ribosomal RNA is filed under the name uncultured bacterium. Its description in RNAcentral is "bacterial SSU rRNA". It matches the Rfam family "Bacterial small subunit ribosomal RNA", at positions 355 to 774 of the family's 1533-position model. The record is from RNAcentral.